This 1489-nucleotide ribosomal RNA is filed under the name uncultured Bordetella sp. Its description in RNAcentral is "partial 16S-23S ribosomal RNA intergenic spacer". It matches the Rfam family "Bacterial small subunit ribosomal RNA". Lineage: Bacteria; Pseudomonadati; Pseudomonadota; Betaproteobacteria; Burkholderiales; Alcaligenaceae. The record is from RNAcentral.
GGGUUUGAUCAUAGCUCAGAUUGAACGCUGGCGGGAUGCUUUACAUACCGUCGAACAGCAGCACGGACUUUCCGGUCUGGUGGCGAGUGGCGAACGGGGUGAUGCCGUAUCGGAACGUGCCUAGUAGCGGGGGAUAACUACGCGAAAGCGUAGCUAUUACCGCAUACGCCCUUCCAGGGAAAGCGGGGGACCUUCCGGGCCUCGCACUGUUAAGGCGGCCGAUAUCGGAUUAGCUAGUUGGUGGGGUAACGGCUCACCAAGGCGACGAUCCAUGUAGCUGGUUUUGGGAGGACGACCAGCCACACUGGAAGGACUGAAGACACAUUGAACUCCUACGGGAGAGCGGCGAUUGAGGGAAUUUUGGACAAUGGGGAAACCCUGAUCCAGCCAUCCCGCGUGUGCGAUGAAGGCCUUGGUUGUCGCUUGCCCUUUUGGCGGGAAAGAAACGGCACGGAUAAUACCCGUGCAACUGACUAUUACACAGAAUAAGCGCCGGCUAACUACGUGCCAGCAGCCGCGGUAUCCGUAAGUGCAACGUUAAUCGGAAUUACUGGGCGUAAAGCGUGCGCAGGCGGUUCGGAAAGAAAGAUGUGAAAUCGGAAGCAACUUGGAACUGCAUUUUUAACUACCGAGCUAGAGUGUGUCAAGAGGAGGUGGAAUUCCGCGUGUAGCAGUGAAAUGCGUAGAUAUGCGGAGGAACACCGAUGGCGAAGGCAGCCUCCUGGGAUAACACUGACAACUCUGCGCGAAAACGAUGAGGCAGAGCGGUUAGAUACCCUGGUGAGUCCACGCCCUAAACGAUGUCAACUAGCUGUUGGGGCCUUCGGGCCUUGGUAUGCAACUAACGCGUGAAGUUGACCGCCUGGGGAAGUACAGUCACCAGAUUAAAACUCAAAGGAAUUGACGGGGACCCGCACAAGCGGUGGAUGAUGUGGUUAGUUGAUGCAACAGCGCGAAAAACCUUUUCUGCUCCGACAUGUCUGGAAUCCCGAAGAGAUUUGGGAGUGCUCGCAAGAGAACCGGAACACAGGUGCUGCAUGGCUGUCGUCAGCUCGUGUGGUAGGAUGUUGGGUUGAGUCCCGCAACGAGCGCAACCCUUGUCAUUAGUUGCUACGAAAGGGCACUCUAUUGAGACUGCCGGUGACAAACCGGAGGAAGGUGAGGAUGACGUCGAGUCCUCCUGGCCCUUAUGGGUAGGGCUUCACACGUCAUGCCAGUAAAAAUCCGGGACAGAGGGUCGCCAACCCGCAGGGGAGCCAAUCCCCAGAAACCCGAUCGUAGUCCGGAUCGCAGUCUGCAACUCGACUGCGUGAAGUCAGGAAUCGCUAGUAAUCGCGGAUCAGCAUGUCGCGGUGGUGUCGUUCCCGGGUCUUGUCCUACCGCCCGUCACACCAUGGGAGUGGGUUUUACCGAAGUAGUUAGCCUAACCGUAAGGAGGGCGAUUACCACGAUAGGAUUCAUGACUGGGAGUGAAGUCGUAACAAGGUAA